Molecule: long non-coding RNA, 717 nt
Organism: Symphalangus syndactylus (siamang)
Lineage: Eukaryota; Metazoa; Chordata; Mammalia; Primates; Hylobatidae
Source: RefSeq, a predicted model, not a curated record
CACAUGGCUGCUGGGACUCAAGCGCUCGUGUUGUCUGCGCCUCUGUGGGACUCGGGAGACGGGAGGCAGGGGAGGCCCCCGCAGGCCGGCCAGGGGCUGGGGGCUGGGGGCCGGCCGCCGGGCACCUGGGGCCCUCUCCCUCCCCUGGCACCACCCUCACCCCGCAGCUCCCCCCCAUACACACCCUCGCUGGAAAGUUCGCCCUGCCCGGGCUGGGCUCCCAGGCAGCCUGGCACCGUGCCAGGCUCGCCGCCGAGCUCGGGCAGCAGGGUGGGGCAAACGCAGAGCACGGAGGACGGGGCCGGGCGACCUGGGCACCAGCACGACCCGAGGCCAGGAGCCAGGGGCCCAGAAGAUUGAGCUUCUAGAGCCUCAGAGAUGGAAUUUGCUGUUUUGCCACGAUUUGACGUUAAAUUAUUGACCCAUGGGAAGGAGGGUAACUUCCCCUGAAAAGCUAUGAAAUGAAGUUGUCAGUCUCUCUUUUUAAUUAAAAAAAAAAAAUCUCUGCAAAGAUUCUGCAUUCUGGCUUUUCUUUGCUAAAUUAAAGUGGCAUGUGUUUUUAUUUUAGAAGGCAGAGAUGUUUUGCUGUGCCCAGUGUGAGGAAGCGAAGGAAAAGAAAGAUCUUUUGAAAAUGUGUACAUCUACUUGCAGCUUAAAAAUUCCAAGUGCCAGACAUUUUUCUUAGAGGAAAUAAAUGUCUUCAAUUUAUUAAUCUUA